This is a long non-coding RNA of Talpa occidentalis (Iberian mole), 1670 nucleotides long. RefSeq lists it as uncharacterized. Lineage: Eukaryota; Metazoa; Chordata; Mammalia; Eulipotyphla; Talpidae. The transcript has 3 exons. The record is from RefSeq and is a predicted model, not a curated record.
AAUCAGCUCAUUGCUCACACCUGAUUGGCCUGUUCCACAAUCCAGGAAGUAAGUAUAAAAGGGCAGCUGAAUAAAGGGUGGUUGCUGGGCCCUCAGGAGCAACUGCCACAACUGACUUUUGGAGCAGCAGGGCGGGAGAACACGCUGAGGUGGCUGGGUCUUGGGAGGCCCCCACUGUCUUCAUUCAAUACAAGAAGACACCGAGGCAUAAAGACUCUUCGCCCCACCCUGCUCUUUCUGGAACAAAGAACACAUCAGAAUCCGCGGUGAAGCUCCUGCGCCCCCACCACCCCGCUGGAGCACCAGGGCUGUUUGGGCAAUAUUUAUGCAGUGACAAGGAUAGUUUUUAUCCUUAAAAUAGAUUAUUUACAAUGUAUCUGGCUAAUUGGGCCCGUACUGUUAUAAUGGGUUAAGACCAGAUGCAUCUAAGUGAUUAGAGAAAAAUCCAGCUCAUGUAUAAUCUGCCCUGUUUUAGAAUUUUCCCACUUCUGAGUCACUUCACAGCAUCCCCAAUGGUCUAGGACCACUGCUUUCCCGGGGCACAAGCCAGGUGGAUGGAGCCCCCAGACCCCGACUGCCAGGCUUGGUCACUUCUCACCAUUGCCAGCCGCUGCUGGAGAAGGGCUCCCCCAGCUUUGAACGCAGGUAGGAUGGUGAUAGAUCACACCCUGUUGACUGCGAACCUCCCUGGGACACCAGCUCCCACUUCUGAGGAGCAGAAGUGCUCACAAGAAGCUAGGGGAGUAGAAUUACUAGCUGCCCUGGGAAAAGGGAGGGUCAGAGCAGGAAGCCAAGGCCACAUAGUGGGCAUCAAAUGCAGGAUUCGAACCCACAGCUAUCCCAGACUGAGCCCGGCUCCUGCCCUUCCAGCAAACCCUCGUAGCAAACCCUAGCAGCACCGGAUCUGAUCACCAACCCCACUGUCCUCGCUAGAUCCUAGUCUCCCUCCAGGUGAAUGUAGACAUGGGGACUUUGGAGACGGCCUGCCAGGGCUCAAACCCCAGCCCCUCUCCAGAUCUGCUGCGUGACCUUGCAGAUGCUCAUCCAUCUCCUUGAGCCUCAGUUUACCCACCUGCAAAACGGUGGCUGUGCCAAGACCUAUAGCCUGGACAAGCUGGGAAGAGGGGGUGGAAUGAUUUGCCCACAUCCGGGCCCAGUGGCUGGGACCCAGCGGGGCUCGGAAAGUGCUGGUCCCUGUCACAGUUGUUUUGAUGUUGGCGCCCAGCAUCGCGGAGGCACGCACCUGCCCAUCGAGUAGGGGAGAGCUCCCCACGCUGGAGUCCCAGCAGUUCCAGAGCUUUGCCCACCCCCUCUCUUCCCCCCAACCCUAUGGCACAGCCUCUUCAUUUGAAGCUCCUCAAUUACUUCAUUGUAGGAAGAACAAAAACUAAAAACAAAGGCCCUCAAUUAGCUCAGGAUUUCUAGUAAUUGAUGUCUGCCUUCAAAGCGGGUAAUAAAGACCCGCUGAGCCGCGGACCAUUGGUAAUGAGUGCUGGUUCCGCCGGAACUGCCGCCACGGGCCCGGCGGGCCACCGGCUGGCCACCCUCAGCUCCGUCUUGUCGUCGGGAGGAACCGGGGCCUGAUUAAUAGCUUAACUGUACUUAAUUCCCCAGAGAAUCAUUAAACACAGUCUCUGUUUCAUUAAACAGAUCCAGGACAAUUCACCUUG